Molecule: ribosomal RNA, 1534 nt
Filed under: uncultured Clostridia bacterium
Lineage: Bacteria; Bacillati; Bacillota; Clostridia
Description: bacterial SSU rRNA
Rfam family: Bacterial small subunit ribosomal RNA
Source: RNAcentral
AGAGUUUGAUCAUGUUCUCAGGACGAACGCUGGCGGCGUGCCUAAUACAUGCAAGUCGUGCGAAGCGGCCUGGGAGGCUUGCCUUCCGGGUCGACUUAGCGGCGGACGGGUGAGUAACGCGUGGGUAACCUACCCGCAAGACCGGGACAACCCUGGGAAACCGGGGCUAAUACCGGAUGAACCCUCUUGGUGAUGCUGAGGGGGCAAAGGUGGCCUCUACUUUUAAGCUACCGUUUGCGGAUGGGCCCGCGUCCCAUUAGCUAGUUGGUGGGGUAAGAGCCCACCAAGGCGACGAUGGGUAGCCGGUCUGAGAGGAUGGCCGGCCACACUGGGACUGAGACACGGCCCAGACUCCUACGGGAGGCAGCAGUCGGGAAUCUUGGGCAAUGGGCGAAAGCCUGACCCAGCGACGCCGCGUGGGGGACGAAGGCCUUCGGGUUGUAAACCCCUGUCUUCGGGGACGAACGAGGGGCCGGUUAAUACCCGGUCCAGGUGACGGUACCCGAGGAGGAAGCCCCGGCUAACUACGUGCCAGCAGCCGCGGUAAUACGUAGGGGGCGAGCGUUGUCCGGAAUUACUGGGCGUAAAGCGCGUGUAGGCGGUUUUGGAAGUCGGGUGUGAAACCCGCCGGCUCAACCGGCGGCCUGCACCCGAUACUCCAGGGCUUGAGGGCAGGAGAGGGAAGCGGAAUUCCCGGUGUAGCGGUGGAAUGCGUAGAUAUUGGGAGGAACACCAGUGGCGAAGGCGGCUUCCUGGUCUGCACCUGACGCUGAGACGCGAAAGCUAGGGGAGCAAACGGGAUUAGAUACCCCGGUAGUCCUAGCCGUAAACGAUGGACACUAGGUGUGGGAGGUAUCGACCCCUUCCGUGCCGCAGCUAACGCAUUAAGUGUCCCGCCUGGGGAGUACGGCCGCAAGGUUGAAACUCAAAGGAAUUGACGGGGGCCCGCACAAGCAGUGGAGCAUGUGGUUUAAUUCGAAGCAACGCGAAGAACCUUACCAGGGCUUGACAUCCCGCGAACCCUGUGGAAACACGGGGGUGCCUUCGGGAGCGCGGAGACAGGUGCUGCAUGGUUGUCGUCAGCUCGUGUCGUGAGAUGUUGGGUUAAGUCCCGCAACGAGCGCAACCCCUGUCCUUUGUUGCCAGCGGUUUGGCCGGGCACUCAAAGGAGACUGCCGGAGACGAUCCGGAGGAAGGUGGGGAUGACGUCAAAUCCUCAUGGCCCUUAUGUCCUGGGCGACACACGUGCUACAAUGGCCUGCACAGAGGGCUGCGAUGCCGUGAGGCAAAGCCAAUCCCCCAAAACAGGUCCCAGUUCGGAUUGAAGGCUGAAACCCGCCUUCAUGAAGCCGGAAUUGCUAGUAAUCGCGGAUCAGCCAUGCCGCGGUGAAUACGUUCCCGGGCCUUGUACACACCGCCCGUCACACCAUGGGAGUCGGAAACACCCGAAGUCGGUGAGCUAACCCGCAAGGGAGGCAGCCGCCGAAGGUGGGGCCGAUGACUGGGGUGAAGUCGUAACAAGGUAACCAAGGGC